CGAUUCCAAUGGAUUGCUUUUGUCCCCUUUGUGGACACACAUCUGCUCAUAGGCAGUGCAGCGAUCACCAUUGAGAAAGAUCCUUAUGGAUUUAAAAACCUGAGAUGUUCUACAUGACGGUGUGAUUGCUUAAUUUAUUAAACAGGAAAGGACUGAUUUUAACUUCAAGCAAAUUGGAGGAGGGAUGCGCUGUCUUGGAGUCCUUGCCGCUGCCGUCUGCCAAUGGUUGAGGACCAGGCGACAGAGUGUCCAGGGACUGGUGAACAAGUUUCUCUCUCUCUCUCUCUGUGUGUCUCCCGCUUGCACAUUCCCUCUCCACUCUCCCUCCCCCAUCUCUCCCCCAGGUUUUCAGGAGGCAGGGUGGAACAUCGGAUGACGGAAUGGCCAGAAGGGCAGCGUCUCCCCUCCAGAAUUGGGGGUAGCUCAGUCCGAGAGGCGGCCAGGGGAGGAGUGUGACGAGGAGGAUGGCGAGGCAGGGCCAUAAGGGUGCACAGCCGGCACUGAGUCAGCUGAGUUCGAGAGAGAGACACACUGUAUGUGUGUACGUCUUUGUUUUUUACGUUGUUUUAAGUUGAAUUUCUGUAACAAUAAUGUUACGUUGACUGUUCUGCUGAUUCCCGCCUCCUAAUGUACCCAUUACAGAAACAUUUGGCGACAGUGAUUUUACCAAGUAGGAUGUAUAGCCUCAGCCUCAGACCACCCAUGAAUUCAUUAAAAGUAAAUGUCUUGGCAGAUGAUAUAUCCUCAAGUACAGGGGACCAUUUAUAUAAACCCCUGUGGUGAAGGCAGCAGGAAACUUGCUAAGUGCAUUAAGGCUGAAAGGUGCGUUUAAAUAAAGAACAAUAUAAAGACCCCAUCACACAUUAAUAACUUUAAUUCAACAGUUAUUUCUCCCUUCAAUAAAGGUGUUUCAUGGACAAAAAGGAUUUCCAGGGUUUCGUGUGGGGCAUUUGUUUGCAAAGUAUGUACCUGUUUUAACAUGCAUGUUUUUGCUUUGAAUUAUAUAGUUUCCUAGUGUGCAGAAGCUCUUUUAACAGAGCGAGUACCUCUUGAUACCCCCUGGUACCACUGGAACAGCGUGAGCAGGCCAUGUUUGCAGGCAGUUUUCAUUUGUC
Xyrauchen texanus (razorback sucker) is the source of this 1115-nucleotide long non-coding RNA. RefSeq lists it as uncharacterized. The transcript has 3 exons. Lineage: Eukaryota; Metazoa; Chordata; Actinopteri; Cypriniformes; Catostomidae. The record is from RefSeq and is a predicted model, not a curated record.